GGAUCGUUUAUUUCAACUCAUGAAAUAUGGGACCAAGACUUUACAUGUUGUGUUUAUAUUUUUGUUCAGUAUAUAUCAUUUCUGUUCCCCUUCAUUGAUACUCUGUAAUAUAUAUAGUCGAUGUUCCUGUCCAUUGAUGUUGUGUCAUUGAGUCUGGUCUGAUGAAUGUUAAUAUCCCCGCAUAUGGAUGAGGCCAGAUAACUGCUUGGAGGGCUGUGAUUGGUUGAGCCAGUAGGACACAAUAGAGCCUCUUCCUUUGUGGUGUCCAGGUGCAGACACUUCAAGGCAUGAAGAGAGGUGGGGGCUCUGUCCUCUCCUACACACAACACUGCAACAAACACACCGGAUCACCCAAAGAAGAACAAACAGUCCAGGAAGGAGGCACUCUCCUCCAGCCUGUUUUAAACAAUACAUUACCACCCAGUACAAUGAUUGUGCGUUAUUUUAUCUUUAUUUUAUCUUAAAGACUUUAAAUGCCCACAUCCUUUUCUUGGAAUAUAACAGAAAAAAACUCAACCAUAUACACUGUAAACAUUCACAUUUGAUUAAAAGGUAUCCCCUAGUUAGUAAACGUACCACAAAAGAGCACAGUUGAUUAUGAACAGAAAAAAAAUUAACCUGUAUAGCAGUGGCUCUCCAAACCUUAACCUUUGCAUUUUGAAGUUGAUCUAUGUUCAAUUAAUCAGCUCGUCCCAAAUGGUACCCUAUUCCCAAUAGUGCUCUACUUUUGACCAGGGCCUAUAGGGCUCAGGUCAAAGAUAGUGCCCUAUAUAGGGGCUAGAGAGUGCCAUUCGGACACAUGAUUUCCCAACCCUCCUGGGGAAACACCAGGCUGCAAGUAUUAGUUCUAGCUCUGCCCUAUUUGACACCUAGGUCAGCUGACCAAGGGUUUGGCGGUGAGGUAAUCAGGUGUGUUAGUAUAGGGCUGGAACAAAGAUGUGGACUGUCUGGUCUCCCAAGAAGAAGGUUGAGACGCUGUUGUAGGACAAUUCGAAGUACUGUACCACCAUGAAGCAUGAUAGCAGACCGAGGACUGCACACGGAUACAUCCCGAUCCUCCAAGGAUGCACUUGCACACUCCACAUCGUGGAUUUAAAGGCUAGAGGGAGUUUCCACCAUUGUGAAAUCCAUGACCGUUUGCACCUGUGCACUUCGGAAGAAGGGUAGAGAAUCGGGACACAGUCAACCUCUCCAUCCUUGCCUCAUAAAGGUCUAGCUCAUCAAAGAGAGUCAACCUGUCCUUCUCUGAUUCAUUAAGAAAUGUGAUUCCUUAUCCCUCCAUGAUAGAUGAACAUAACCUGAGGACUAGUGUUUUUCCUCCCCCGUCCAUCGUCAUGAUAGAUGAACCUAACCUGAGGACUAGUGUUUUUCCUUCCCCACUCAUGAUGAUAGAUGAACCUAACCUGAGGACUAGUGUUUUUCCUUCCCCACUCAUGAUGAUAGAUGAACCUAACCUGAGGACUAGUGUUUUUCCUCCCCCACUCAUGAUGAUAGAUGAACCUAACCUGAGGACUAGUGUUUUUCCUCCCCCACUCAUGAUGAUAGAUGAACCUAACCUGAGGACUAGUGUUUUUCCUCCCCCGUCCAUCGUGAUGAUUGAUGAACCUAACCUGAGGACUAGUGUAAGAUCCAAAGCUGGGGCCUAUCAAGCCUUUAGCUCUGUGGACGAAUGUGGUCUUGAGGCACUCAAAUGACUCUGGUUCGAUACCCGGUUUGUUUGGUCACGUCUAGAAUGAAUAAACACAAACCUCAUGCAGUCCUUCAGCAAAUUAGAAGGACUGGUCUCCCCAGCACCAUGUUCCCUAUAUAGUGCACUACUUUAGAUCAGGGCCCAUUAGCACCCUGUUCCCUUUAUAGUACACUAGGGUACCAUUCCCGAUGCAGACGUGGUGAACACUAUUGCCUGGUGGAGAGAUGACGUCACAACAGGAUCUGAUGUCAAGGCACUUCCCCAGAGAGAGAGGAUCUUGUCUUUCAGUGUCUGUGAGGCACCAACAUAUUAAACUAGAUAAUAAAACAGAAUAAUGUCAUUAUUAAACACUUGGCUAGUUCGGAGAACUGGAUUUCUAAAUAAUAAUAAUAACACUGUUUAUUUGGUAGGUUGGUGUCACUUUUAAGCUGGCGAGCCUGGUCUGUUGCUGGGCUGUGUGCAUCUGGUAGUCCUUUUUGAUUAGAAACUCAUCUGGCUUUUGAAACGCAGCACUAACUGUGAGAUAUGCUGUAAGAGACGCUAUCCUGGUACACAGAUUAAGCCUAGUCCUGUAUCAAACACCAAUCUCAUUUGAGAAUCUUAAUUGAAAGUGUUUUUUUUUUCAUCCAGGAAUAGGCUUAAUUUCUGUUCGGGAAAACUGGCCAUAACUGUGGAGCCGUUGCAGUGACACCCCGCUGUUCUACUGGCCAUCAGGAGAAACUAUUGUUAACAGGUCAUUAUCAGGUCCUAACGGGAAUACUGUUAACAUGUCAUUAUCUAGCCCUAACUGGACUACUGUUAACAUGUCAUUAUCUAGCCCUAACUGGACUACUGUUAACAUGUCAUUAUCUAGCCCUAACUGUACUACUGUUAACAUGUCAUUAUCUAGCCCUAACUGGACUACUGUUAACAUGUCAUUAUCUAGCCCUAACUGGACUACUGUUAACAUGUCAUUAUCUAGCCCUAACUGUACUACUGUUAACAUGUCAUUAUCUAGCCCUAACUGGACUACUGUUAACAUGUCAUUAUCUAGCCCUAACUGGACUACUGUUAACAUGUCAUUAUCUAGCCCUAACUGGACUACUGUUAACAUGUCAUUAUCUAGCCCUAACUGGACUACUGUUAACAGAGAUCAUUAUCUAGCCCUAACUGGACUACUGUUAACAGAGAUCAUUAUCUAGCCCUAACUGGACUACUGUUAACAUGUCAUUAUCUAGCCCUAACUGGACUACUGUUAACAGA
Oncorhynchus tshawytscha (Chinook salmon) is the source of this 2932-nucleotide long non-coding RNA. The record is from Ensembl. NCBI's taxonomy places the organism in Eukaryota, Metazoa, Chordata, Actinopteri, Salmoniformes, Salmonidae.